UGAGCACCGCUCAGGACUGCAGCUGUUGGGCACCAGCAGCCAGGUCUGCAGGCUCCGCGAAGCCUGGCCCGGACCGUAGCUUCUGCAAGCAGUCCAGGUGUAUCCUGGGGUCACUGGAGGGCAGAGCCUGCUCAGAGCGAGUACAGAAGCAGCCCAGGUCUUCCCAGCACCAGGUUCACUGGAAGUGCCAGGCCACCACCUCCUUCAUGCUCCUCUGUGAUCACCUCUCCAAGUCCCGGUGUCAGGAGCCUUCUCUGUGGCCGCCCUGGAGAGACUUGAGCCUGGGACGUGACGUGCUGGGCUGUGAAGCUUUCUGAGAAGGGAAACCUGUGGCCUGACCUGCCUGAAUGCUGCACCCAACCUCAU
This 366-nucleotide long non-coding RNA is filed under the name Homo sapiens (human). RNAcentral describes it as "HSALNT0258730". Lineage: Eukaryota; Metazoa; Chordata; Mammalia; Primates; Hominidae. The record is from RNAcentral.